RNAcentral lists this long non-coding RNA (443 nucleotides) under Vigna radiata. RNAcentral describes it as "long non-coding RNA (VRAD_LNC005325)". Lineage: Eukaryota; Viridiplantae; Streptophyta; Magnoliopsida; Fabales; Fabaceae. The record is from RNAcentral.
UUUGAGUCUUCUUUUGUGAUUUUAAAAGUAAUCUUGCAAGUAACAACAACUAAGUGAGUAGCCUAGAACAAUUUUGGCAAGGNCAAGGCUUGGUACUUAAGCAAUCCUAGUGAUUCACCUCCCUUACCUGGAAAUUGUUCUUGGGUGAAAUCUAAGUAGUUGUAACACAAGAAAACUUUUAGAAACAAAAAUGUCUUUUUAUUCAUCUAGGUUGUCUAGUUCAUACAUUAAGGAUGAUUUGUGUACUAAAGCUAGAAAAAUUCCUUCUUUGGUAAAGAUACAAAUGUUUUAACAUACCUAGUUUGGGAAAAAGAAAUUAAUCAAAUGCAUCCUGAUCUUCUUAAGCAAAGUGAAAUUGAGUCUUAUAGUACAAUUGUUCUUUCUAGAGAGUGUGAAUCUCGUGUUCUUAGUUUAUAUCUCUCUAGAUUAGAAAAGCAUUCACU